This 482-nucleotide ribosomal RNA is filed under the name uncultured bacterium. RNAcentral describes it as "partial 16S ribosomal RNA". It matches the Rfam family "Bacterial small subunit ribosomal RNA", at positions 29 to 507 of the family's 1533-position model. The record is from RNAcentral.
AUUGAACGCUGGCGGCAUGCCUUACACAUGCAAGUCGAACGGUAACAGGUCUUCGGACGCUGACGAGUGGCGGACGGGCGAGUAAUGCAUCGGAACGUGCCCAGUCGUGGGGGAUAACUGCUCGAAAGAGCAGCUAAUACCGCAUACGACCUGAGGGCGAAAGCGGGGGACCGUAAGGCAUCGCGCGAUUGGAGCGGCCGAUGUCAGAUUAGCUAGUUGGUGGGGUAAAGGCCUACCAAGGCAACGAUUUGUAGUUGGUCUGAGAGGACGACCGGCGACACUGGGACGGAGACACGGCCAAGGCGACUGCGGGAGGCAGCAGUGGGGUAUUUUGGACAGUGGGCGCAAGCCUGAUCCAGCAAUGCCGCGUGCAGGGAGAAGGCCUUCGGGUUGUAAACUGCUUUUGUCAGGGAAGAAAUCUUCUGGGCUAAGACCCCGGGAGGAUGACGGUACCUGAAGAAUAAGCACCGGCUAACUACGUG